RNAcentral lists this long non-coding RNA (1118 nucleotides) under Dermacentor andersoni. RNAcentral describes it as "uncharacterized LOC126545605". The record is from RNAcentral. Lineage: Eukaryota; Metazoa; Arthropoda; Arachnida; Ixodida; Ixodidae.
CGCAGCCCAGGGCGCCUCAGCUCGAGCGCCGGCCGCCGACCGCGUGCAGCCCGGCCGCCGCAUGGGACCGGACGCCGCCGAAGAGGACGACGCGGGCAGCGAGCCCCUUCGCCAGGGCCCCUGCACCGUGAACUGACGACGACCAUAAGCGUGGAACUCUUGUCCGACUCUUCGGAGAGGUCGCCCGUACCGCACGCAGCGAGAGACACCGCCGCGAAAAAGUUUUGACGCCCCGUGGUUCACGACACGUUCGCCGCUGGUGGGACGUUCCGGCGAGGUGAUGCACCGCGGGCGCGCAAUGACGCUAUGUGACUGCUUGUGGCAUAGCGAAGUGACUGAGUGACACCGGUCUGGCACCGUGCGACAAACCUGCCGCGGGAGCCGAGAACUUGCCUUCGCCCUUGCAAGGGGAGACACGACGAGACAGCUGAGUAAAUUUGUGUUGCGUGCGCGACCCAGCCCAUCGCACAGCGGCGAGAGGAAAACUUAUUUUCUCGGAUUCCUCGACCCUGUUCUUUUUCUUCUUCUCUUUAUUUUUUUUUUUUUUUUGCCUCGUCACUUACGCGAUUGUUUUGCACGCUUCUGGCUUUCGGACUUGUUUUAUAUUCUUUGCUUUUUUGCGUGAUCCUUCGAACUGACUCGACCAAGAUGCUUGGACUGUGAGACUUCUAAGUGCUGCGGCGCAUCGGUCACAGAAGUCUUGGAACGGAAGGAGCAGUCCCGCAGUCUCAGCAGGUUCCGCACUGCUUCGCAUUUCUGACGGCUGUUCGCCCGGCUGCCUACCGCCAAGCACCAUAUAACUCCCAAGAAUUUCUUAUGAGGCCCGGAUAGCGCUGCCGGGGCACGAGGAGGAGGCCAGCCUGCAGCCGCUACGCGGGAUCGGCCCUCGAGUCCAGCUGAUCGAAGCUUACGUGGCUUCUGCAAACUUGGACGCCUAUAGUCGCCGCAUCCCUCCGUGAAUCCAUGGGAGGUGGCCGCACCAAACUCACCUAACAUGAGAACCUGGCCGUCUGCUUGCUUCGAGGUGUGACCCUGAAAUGCAUGACGGGCUUCCGUCUGACAAUCACAGCCCUUCAACGUCAUCACAACCACCCUGGCGGUUGUCUUGCUGGACCCAU